GAUCCGCAGCUGAGCAGGAGGAGGAGGAGCUGAGAGGAGGAGCCCUGCUGAUGAAGGACGAGAGGAGACGCGCGAGUGUCAGAGAGCUGGAGGAGACCAGAGCAGUGCAGGAAGGUGGGAGCAUGAGGAAACAUGUGCCAGAGGAGAGGAAGACAGACUCCAGCUUUACUACUGAUCACUCACACACAAUACAGGACAGAUACAGAGCGCUGCUGCACACACAGGUGCAUGUGCUGAUGGAGAGGAUGGUGGAUUCUCUGUGUGAUUUACUCGAUGACACUCAACACACUCCUCAGACAGCAUAUUGAUACUUCCGUCUGUCUUCAUUUACUGUCUAAAGAGUCCGAUCUUAAUUGCACAAGUCAGUAAAUGUAAUGUUCCUGUCAAGAAGAGCCUUUGGUGUGUUUCUGGUGUGAGUUUUAAACUAGCCGUUCUGAAACAACUGAAUGAGAUGAUUCAGUUUAUGAUUUAUGAGAUAAUCUAUAAGCUUGUCCAUCAAGCGUUUCAAGCCCAAAUGGCUGAAGGUUUAGCUGGUUCUCAUCACUAUACCCUGCUGUAUGUAUCUGACCGUCUUUAUUAAUGACCAUUCAAACGUAUCUGUAUAUUUCUGCUAAAAUAAACAUUUCAGUUGCAAAUACUUCAGUAUAUUAUGAAAACUGCAGCAACAUACAUGCAGAAAAUAAAAUAAUUAAAAUAAAGAGUGUAUUUAUUUAUUUAGUAAUACAGCAUAGCAGACCAAACCUUUAUAAAUAAAUAAGUAAAAUACUUUCUU
RNAcentral lists this long non-coding RNA (772 nucleotides) under Sinocyclocheilus anshuiensis. RNAcentral's name for it is "lncRNA (ENSSANG00000015414.1)". Lineage: Eukaryota; Metazoa; Chordata; Actinopteri; Cypriniformes; Cyprinidae. The record is from RNAcentral.